RNAcentral lists this ribosomal RNA (434 nucleotides) under uncultured Ruminococcus sp. RNAcentral describes it as "partial 16S ribosomal RNA". It matches the Rfam family "Bacterial small subunit ribosomal RNA", at positions 341 to 792 of the family's 1533-position model. The record is from RNAcentral. Lineage: Bacteria; Bacillati; Bacillota; Clostridia; Eubacteriales; Oscillospiraceae.
ACGGAAGGCAGCAGUGGGGAAUAUUGCACAAUGGGGGAAACCCUGAUGCAGCGAUGCCGCGUGGAGGAAGAAGGUUUUCGGAUUGUAAACUCCUGUCUUAAAGGACGAUAAUGACGGUACUUUAGGAGGAAGCUCCGGCUAACUACGUGCCAGCAGCCGCGGUAAUACGUAGGGAGCGAGCGUUGUCCGGAAUUACUGGGUGUAAAGGGAGCGUAGGCGGGAUCGCAAGUCAGAUGUGAAAUACAUGGGCUUAACCCAUGGGCUGCAUUUGAAACUGUGGUUCUUGAGUGAAGUAGAGGUAAGCGGAAUUCCUGGUGUAGCGGUGAAAUGCGUAGAUAUCAGGAGGAACACCGGUGGCGAAGGCGGCUUACUGGGCUUUUACUGACGCUGAGGCUCGAAAGCGUGGGGAGCAAACAGGAUUAGAUACCCUGGUA